UACGUAGGCAGCAAGCGUUGUUCGGAGUUACUGGGCGUAAAGCGCACGUAGGCGGCUUUGUAAGUUAGAGGUGAAAGCCCGGGGCUCAACCCCGGAAUUGCCUUUAAGACUGCAUCGCUUGAAUCCAGGAGAGGUGAGUGGAAUUCCGAGUGUAGAGGUGAAAUUCGUAGAUAUUCGGAAGAACACCAGUGGCGAAGGCGGCUCACUGGACUGGUAUUGACGCUGAGGUGCGAAAGCGUGGGGAGCAAACAGG
Molecule: ribosomal RNA, 253 nt
Filed under: uncultured bacterium
Lineage: Bacteria
Description: partial 16S ribosomal RNA
Rfam family: Bacterial small subunit ribosomal RNA
Source: RNAcentral